GUUUUAAGGGCUGCUUGCUCUGUUAUUUUUUUCUUUUUUUAUUAUUAUUUCUUACAUGCAUGACAAUAGUGGAGUGCAUUUCAUUCAUAAUCAUCUAUUCACAGCACAAUUUUUUCGUAACUGUAUAUAAAGUACGUUCAUGCCAAAUUAUACCAUUAUAUAUGAGCUCUCUCUCUCUCUCUCUUUUUUUUUUUUGCAUUAUAAUUCUUAAUACACCUUUAGGUAUCCACCUCACAGUCCAUGACUAAUACACUGGAAGAUGUAAUACAUAAAAAUACAUAAUUUAUUUUCCUCUUUUUCUCAGCAAAACAUGCCUAUUGUGUUGUUUUUGGUGCCUAGGAGACAGUUUUGCAUUCUUAUGUUAUUAAUUCAUUGGCGCAAGGGAGUUACUUCCUCUUCCACAUUAGUACAUUAGUAAUUUAAGUAGUAAGUACCAGUAUAGCAUUUGGGGGAAGUAGAGAAAAUCACAAUUUGUUGCUUAUAAAACUGACUUUAGGAAUAAUCUGUAGUAGAUUCUGAGAGCACUGGGCAAGGUGACCUGCUUUGGCAAUAAGAAGAUGAACCAAUAAUGUAAAAAGGAAAAAAAAAUACUAGGAGAGAGAGUAGCUACCUUUGUUUUAUAGUCACAAACUCCUAGUGGGGUUUAGGUACUAUCAUGACUUAAUUUGUUCACUAGAAAUUAUUAACAGUGCUCAUCUCCCGCUACUUUUACCAUAAAUCUAGGAAUCAUAGGCAGUAAGGAUUCUAUAUUUGCUAUGGAAAUGUUUCCUUUUACCCAACCUGGUAUUAUUUUACUAUGAUAACUCAAAGGAACUAUUUCACACAUUAAAAAAAAAAAAAGAAUAAGUAUAAGUAGAUCUACUUUACAUUAUCCUGAAAAAUUAGCAAUGUGCCUGGAAUAGUGAGCUUCUACUUAAUAGCUUUCAGUUAUUUAUAACAUAGAAAUCAUGUCUUCUAGAUUUUAUUAAUAUUAUUAACUUUCUGUUUCCUAAGAGCAAAUUUCAUAUAUGGUAUCCACAUCAAUUUUUUUUGGAUCUGUAUUCCUAUCUAAAUAAGAUUAACUGUGAGUAGCAGUAUAAAUACAAACACCUAUAACCCUCCUUGCCCAGUGAUCCACAAAAUUACCAAUGAAAACAUCAAAUAGGAAAACAAUUCAUAUCAAUCAAAGAAAUUUAGGUAAGAGUAGUGAAAACUAGAAGGAAUUUCUAUUAAGUAAAAUAGUAAGGAAUAGGGUCGGGGUUGUGGCUUAGCGGCAGAGCGCUCACCUAGCAAGUGUGAGGCCCUGGGUUCAAUCCUCAGCACCACAUAAAAAUAAAUAAAUAAAGAUGGUGUGACCAAUUAAAAUAAAUUUAAAAAAAUAGUAAGGAAUGG
Molecule: long non-coding RNA, 1371 nt
Filed under: Marmota monax (woodchuck)
Lineage: Eukaryota; Metazoa; Chordata; Mammalia; Rodentia; Sciuridae
Rfam family: tRNA (bases 1236-1304)
Source: RNAcentral